UAGCCCAUAUCUGUGAUUCACUGUCAUUA
RNAcentral lists this non-coding RNA (29 nucleotides) under Rattus norvegicus (Norway rat). Lineage: Eukaryota; Metazoa; Chordata; Mammalia; Rodentia; Muridae. The record is from RNAcentral.